UGCCGACUGGGUGUCUGCACUAAGUUUGGCAUCAAUAUGGUGACCUCCUGGAAGCGGGGGGCCACCAGCUUGCCUAACGAUGGGUGAACUGGCCCAGGUCAGAAAGGGAGCAAGUCAGGACUCCUGCACCUGUCGGUAGUGGGACUGUGCCUGGGCA
Unclassified non-coding RNA from Pongo abelii (Sumatran orangutan), 157 nucleotides. It matches the Rfam family "Metazoan signal recognition particle RNA". Rfam says of the family: The signal recognition particle (SRP) is a universally conserved ribonucleoprotein. It is involved in the co-translational targeting of proteins to membranes. The record is from Ensembl. NCBI's taxonomy places the organism in Eukaryota, Metazoa, Chordata, Mammalia, Primates, Hominidae.